UACAGAGGGCCCAAGCGUUGUUCGGAUUCACUGGGCGUAAAGUGUGCGUAGGCGGUCGGGUAAGUCUGACGUGAAAUCUUCAAGCUCAACUUGGAAACUGCGUCGGAUACUAUUCGGCUAGAGGAAUGGAGGGGAGACUGGAAUACUUGGUGUAGCAGUGAAAUGCGUAGAUAUCAAGUGGAACACCAGUGGCGAAGGCGAGUCUCUGGACAUUUCCUGACGCUGAGGCACGAAAGCCAGGGGAGCAAACGGG
This 253-nucleotide ribosomal RNA is filed under the name uncultured bacterium. RNAcentral describes it as "partial 16S ribosomal RNA". It matches the Rfam family "Bacterial small subunit ribosomal RNA", at positions 524 to 776 of the family's 1533-position model. The record is from RNAcentral.